This 431-nucleotide ribosomal RNA is filed under the name uncultured bacterium. Its description in RNAcentral is "bacterial SSU rRNA". It matches the Rfam family "Bacterial small subunit ribosomal RNA", at positions 608 to 1029 of the family's 1533-position model. The record is from RNAcentral.
CUCAACCGGGGAACUGCUUGGUAUACUGGUCGCCUUGAGCGUGGUAGAGGCGGUCGGAACGGUAGGUGGAGCGGUGAAAUGCGUAGAUAUCUACCGGAACGCCGAAGGUGAAGACAGGCCGCUGGGCCACUGCUGACGCUCAGGCACGAAAGCGUGGGGAGCGAACGGGAUUAGAUACCCCGGUAGUCCACGCCCUAAACGUUGUGCACUAGACCAGGGAGGUUCUGAUGCCAUCCGGGUCGAAGGAAAACCGAUAAGUGCACCGCCUGGGGAGUACGGUCGCAAGGCUAAAACUCAAAGGAAUUGACGGGGGCUCACACAAGCGGUGGAGCAUGUGGCUUAAUUCGAAGCAACGCGAAGAACCUUAUCCUGGAAUUGACAUGUACGAAUUAGCCCUGUGAAAGCAGGGUGACGCGGCUUGCCGUGGAACG